RNAcentral lists this long non-coding RNA (727 nucleotides) under Lathyrus oleraceus (garden pea). RNAcentral's name for it is "Pisum sativum (pea) long non-coding RNA (PSAT_LNC009020)". Lineage: Eukaryota; Viridiplantae; Streptophyta; Magnoliopsida; Fabales; Fabaceae. The record is from RNAcentral.
AACCCCGCCGUCACCUUCGGCGCUUUCGUCGGUGGAAACAUCACCUUACUCCGUGGUAUCGUUUACAUCAUCGCUCAACUCCUUGGAUCCAUCGUCGCCUCCGCACUCCUCGUCUUUGUCACCGCAUCGGUAUGACUGAUAAUUUUUAUAACUAAAUAUAACGUUAGUUAUAGAAGUUAGUUACUUCUUCAAAAUACAGUUAUUUGUUAUAUUUAUUUUUUAUUUUUAAGAAACUUUAGAUUUAAUUAACUAGAGUUUUGUUACCGUGUAUCGCAGUCUGUGCCAGCAUUCGCUCUAUCCGCAGGAGUUGGAGUGGGUCCCGCUUUGGUGUUGGAGAUUGUGAUGACUUUCGGUUUGGUGUACACUGUGUACGCUACAGCCGUUGACCCAAAGAAGGGUAAUAUUGGAAUUAUCGCACCUAUUGCUAUUGGUUUCAUCGUUGGUGCUAACAUUUUGGUUGGUGGAGCCUUCACCGGAGCAUCCAUGAACCCCGCCGUGUCAUUCGGGCCUGCUGUGGUGAGCUGGAGCUGGGCCAACCACUGGAUCUACUGGGCCGGCCCACUUAUCGGUGGUGGGCUUGCUGGGCUUAUCUAUGAGGUUCUCUUCAUUAACAGCACCCAUGAGCAGCUUCCAACCACUGACUACUAGAUGGGAAGUGAAAAUGGAACUGAAAUUUGAAAUUGUGUAUUAUUGAAUUUUCUUCUGUGCAUGUUUUUAUUUUCUUGUG